CAGAGAAAUAAAAAAUAAUUCUUUGUUUUCUAUGUUUCAAAGAUAGAUGCCCUUGGAGAAAUAGGAAAGCUGGACAACAGGACAGCCAGGAGAGAAAGAACCCCUUCCCGGGCUAUAGUAAGAAUUAUCCCCAGGACUUGUGGAGGAUAAAGGCAGGAAAUAGGGAGUGCAUGCCCGUGCUGAGCGGAUGAGGCGACAGGAAAGAGAUGUGGCAGGUCUCCGAUGAUGAGUCUGUGCCUUGCUUCUGGCUCUGGUCCCACAGAAGCAACAAAACUCACCAGAGGACUGGCGGGACUUGUUGGUUGAAGGGACCUAUCCCGGCACUACACAGGGUCCCGAGAAGGAUGCAGGACCCUGGAGAUCAGCAGAUCCAGUGGGCGUCUCUGCAGACAGAACUGUGGGGCCUUGGCACCGCCUGGCCAGGCAUCCGCCACCUAGGAAGGAGUGAGAACUGUAUGCUGAGCACUUCCACAGGCCCAGAACAUUCAGCUGAGUUACAGAAAAGUACGAGACAUGUCUCUGGAUUUAGGUCAAGAGUCAUAACCUGCCAUACGCCAAUUAGGAAGUUUUAGUCUGUUUUGUGUGAGUGCUAAGUGCGCACCAUGACUCAUAGCAAAGAAACCAGGGCAUGCUGAGUUCAGAUACGCCAUCGGGAUCCCCAGGCCAUCACGGGAUAACCAGUGCAUGCCUAACUCAAACUCUCCUCCAUUCUGAUGGCCACCAGAGCAGCCGUCCUCAGCCCUUCUAACGCCUCAACCCCCUAGUACUCUUCCUCAUGUUGUGGUGACUCCACCCAAAAGGUAUCAAUACAAAUCCAUCUCUCCCAGAAGUCCCCCUUUAAAAGAAACAGCUGCCUCACUCAUCUGAACUUCAACUUCUGGUCAUCCUGGCUCUUCACAGUCUCUACUUGAUUACUCCCACGGCCAAUGACUUAAUUGACCAAUAGGAGAUGUUUCCCUUGGUUAGUUCCAC
RNAcentral lists this long non-coding RNA (972 nucleotides) under Cricetulus griseus (Chinese hamster). RNAcentral describes it as "lncRNA (ENSCGRG00015039246.1)". The record is from RNAcentral. Lineage: Eukaryota; Metazoa; Chordata; Mammalia; Rodentia; Cricetidae.